Molecule: long non-coding RNA, 226 nt
Organism: Melitaea cinxia (Glanville fritillary)
Lineage: Eukaryota; Metazoa; Arthropoda; Insecta; Lepidoptera; Nymphalidae
Exons: 2
Source: RefSeq, a predicted model, not a curated record
AUAUCAAAAUUUUACAAGUUUUCCAUCAUUCUCAUAUUUCAUUUGUAGUAUAUAUAUGAAUGCUGUGUGGUUACGUCAUUAUGUAUGUACAAUAUACACCCAUGGUCAUCUGUUCCUAAGUAACUUAAUAAAAUGCAACACAAGUUAUUUUGUCGUAUACUAGUAUAUUCUGUAUGCAUUUUUUGUUACCAUAGAUGCACGUAAAGUAAACACGUAGAUAAAUGUG